RNAcentral lists this ribosomal RNA (416 nucleotides) under uncultured bacterium. RNAcentral's name for it is "bacterial SSU rRNA". It matches the Rfam family "Bacterial small subunit ribosomal RNA", at positions 30 to 444 of the family's 1533-position model. The record is from RNAcentral.
AUUGAACGCUGGCGGCAGGCCUAACACAUGCAAGUCGAGCGGUAGAGAGAAGCUUGCUUCUCUUGUGAGCGGCGGACGGGUGAGUAAUGCCUAGGAAUCUGCCUGGUAGUGGGGGAUAAACGUUCGGAAACGGACGCUAAUACCGCAUACGUCCUACGGGGAGAAAGCAGGGGACCUUCGGGCCUUGCGCUAUCAGAUGAGCCUAGGUCGGAUUAGCUAGUUGGUGAGGUAAUGGCUCACCAAGGCGACGAUCCGUAACUGGUCUGAGAGGAUGAUCAGUCACACUGGAACUGAGACACGGUCCAGACUCCUACGGGAGGCAGCAGUGGGGAAUAUUGGACAAUGGGCGAAAGCCUGAUCCAGCCAUGCCGCGUGUGUGAAGAAGGUCUUCGGAUUGUAAAGCACUUUAAGUUGGG